Transfer RNA from Theobroma cacao (cacao), 83 nucleotides. It matches the Rfam family "tRNA". From Rfam's summary of the family: Transfer RNA (tRNA) molecules are approximately 80 nucleotides in length. The record is from Rfam. NCBI's taxonomy places the organism in Eukaryota, Viridiplantae, Streptophyta, Magnoliopsida, Malvales, Malvaceae.
GCUGGUUUGCCCGAGAGGUUAAGGGGGGAGACUUAAGAUCUCCUGUACAUAAGUACGCAUGGGUUCGAACCCCAUAGCCAGCA